This is a long non-coding RNA of Apis cerana (Asiatic honeybee), 2616 nucleotides long. RefSeq lists it as uncharacterized. NCBI's taxonomy places the organism in Eukaryota, Metazoa, Arthropoda, Insecta, Hymenoptera, Apidae. The record is from RefSeq and is a predicted model, not a curated record.
UCGCGUAUGCGUACUGUCAGAUUUCUCUUUGGCUGUCGUCUUUUUCUUUUAAAUAUUGACAAUUAAUUUUUUCCUACUUUCUAGUUGUCUCGUUUAGUGAUAUUAACGUAUUGUAUUGUUGGAUUUGACUUCAAACUAUGAAAACUUAGUAAACAUUGUAAAAAUGUGUUAAAUAUUCAUUUUGAUAAGUUGAAACGAAUACUUUUGUUUAUUUUAUUCUAUUCAUAGCAAAUGGCUCAUGUAAUUUGCAUAUGUCAAAUAAGUUUUAAAUUGUGAAAUAUUUAAUGAAAAAUUGAUAAAUAUAAAAGUUGCGUAGUUUUAAAUUUCUGAUAUAUUUUGAGGUUAACUUUAUUUCUUUCAAUGAAAUCGUAUAUUUUAUUCGUUGUGCACGAAAAAAUAAAAAAAAAUAUUAUUUCAAGUAAAAAAUAUUAACCUAUAUUGAUAAUUUAUAACAAUAAUAAUAAAAAAAUAUAUUUUUACGAUGAUUAUUUCAAUUUUUAAUUUAAUAAAUGAUUUUGUUUUGAAUAUAUAUAUAGAAAUAGUAGUUGUAGAAAAUUCUUCAGGAUCGAGAACUUUCGUAACUUUAUUUCAGUUUACGUUUCGCAAUUAAUCGUGUUGAUCAAACGUGGAAACGAAAAUGAGAGAUUGUUGAUUAAUCAGCGAAAUCGCGAGUGAUUGAGUAACCGAAAGAGUAUUAACACAAAUCAUAUAAUGUAAUUCUUCUCUGGAUGCAAAUUGCAGAAAUAAAAUUAUUUCAUAAUUUACUUGUAAAGAUUUUUAUGAAACUUUUAUGAAAUUAACUUUUAUAUCAUAAUCUUUUCAAAAUGCAUUCCCUUAUAUUUAUUUCUAUUAAAUUCAAAACAAAUUUAAGAAAUUUAAUAAAAAAAUUUUAAGAAUAAAUUUAUAUCAUUAUAAAAUUCUUUUAAAUUAUUUUUUAUCUAGGAAAAUUUUGAAUCACAAAUAUAACAAAGAUUUUCUUUGAAGAGUUUCGAAGAUUCGAAUUUCUUAAUAAAAACCAUCAUAUCUUCAUUUAUAGCAUGCUUUUAUCAACCUAUCUUUCAUCCAUGAAUACUACGUAAAUAGAUUUUCACUUUAAAUGCAGAUCAAUCUUAAUUAACUCGUUUCGAUUUUCUUAAUUACUCAGAUAUAUGAUUGCAUAUAUUCAUUAAGGAGUUUUCUAAUGAUCUGUAAGUUUUUAUAAUUCUUUUUUUUUAAUCAUCAUGCUCAUAGAAACAUAUACAAAAGACACAAGAAUAAAUACAAAUAUAUAUUUUGAAUAUUAAUGCACAUAUAAUUUAAAAAAAAUAUGCAUAACAAAGAAAACUUGGAAGAAGACUUACCAGGCGUGAGAGACAUAGUCUGCUGCCUUCUCGACCUCGAAUUGUCCCGUUUUCCAUUGGAAGACUGAGAUCCCGAGACUUGGAGUCCUGGAGCACUGACCGCACGUUUUGGUCCACCCAAUACACCAGGAACGUUGCUGUUCCUCGCGAAUCCUGGAGGACGAUAUCUGGCCGAUUUCACGCCAGAAUGUUGAGGCAAAAAAUGAUAGACACUGUGCGCUUUGUGCAUUGUCGUUGAUGGCGUGGUUGACGUCGUCGUUAAACCGGAAGGUGCAGUGGAUGCUGGUAAACGAGGUAAAGAAUUGGUAGCAGCAGUGAUGGCAGAUUGCAUUCCGCGUGGAAGAGUCGUUGCUCGAGAUUCACCACUGUAUUCGAGCUCGUCUUCAGUGUCCUCGUCACCUGUAGACGUAUCUGUUAAUAUAUUGAUUUGCAUUUUUAUUCGAUUGACGUUUGGUGACUCUGAUGAUCCAGAAAAUAUUCUUUUGAGUUUUCAAUAAAAUUUGGAAUUCUAAAUAUAAAUAUAUUCUAUAGAAUCUAAUGAUUUCAAGGUAUUGGAUCAAGAAAUUUUUUAAAAUUUAUUACUUCAAGUAUUCUAUUGUAUAUCGUAUAUAACUUUAAUCCUAAAAAAGAGGAUUUAAAUCCUUCAUGGAUUUUAAGAAGUAAUUGAAAUAUUUAGAACUAAGAUCAAUAUUAAACAAUUUACAAUAUUAUUCAAUAUUAAAAAAAUUUAAUUAAUCAUAUUAUAUUCUUAAAGAUACAUUCUUUUCGUAUGCAGAUAAAUCUUCGUGAUAUCAUACAUUCCAAUCCUCAUUUAUAUUCUCAGAAUUAUUUUCACUCGCAAUCAAUACUCUAAACAUUCGCUCAGCUCAAUUAUUCUUUAUCCAUGUUGCAUCCACGUCAUUCAUUACGAUAUACAAUUCAAUUUACACUUACAUCAGUUUUAUUUUUUAUAAUAGAGUGAUAUUAUGCACAAAAAAAUAUUUAAAAAAUUAAAAUGUAAACAAAAGAAUUAGAAUCAAAAAGAAAAUGUUGGAAAUGGAAGUAAAACAGAAUUAAUAAUACACAUGGUUAAAAAUGAUUUAAUCUUGAAAUAGAUUACUUUCAAAAUAAUAGAUAAAAUCAGAACAGAAAUUAUUUCUAUUAUGUCAUUAGCAUAAUUACAUAUUUCUUAACUCCUCAAAAGAAAUCUACAUAUAUAUAGGAAUUUUAUGUUUAUUUUAAAGUAUUAUAUAAGAAUUUAAAAAUGCAAUUUACGAUUAUGUAACAAUUUAUUAAA